GGCGAGAUGGCCGAGCGGUCCAAGGCGCCAGACUAAGGUACAUAGACCAGCUCAUGAGAUGAGCGACCAAUCUGGUCUCUUCGGGGGCGCGAGUUCGAAUCUCGCUCUCGUCA
Molecule: non-coding RNA, 113 nt
Organism: Pleurotus pulmonarius
Lineage: Eukaryota; Fungi; Basidiomycota; Agaricomycetes; Agaricales; Pleurotaceae
Source: the annotation of a GenBank genome assembly